AUUCUUUGUAAGCAGGCAGCAAUAGGUCUUUAAAGGCUUCUCUGUUACUGAAGAGGUAAGGUGUGGGGUCUCUGAGUGCCUGCAGACCUUUCUCCUUGGGUGGCUGGAUCUGAAGAUGAGGCAUGGCAGAGGAAGAACUGCGAACAGCUCAAGCUGUGUCUAACAACAGCCCACGUAGCCCAUUAACUGCAGGUAUUUACCCCUUUCCUCUUCUGAGUUUCCUGCGUCCUUACAUCCCUGCGUUGUUCUUACCUCCUUCACGGCACUAACGUUUUCUCCAGUCUCCAUUACAGUCCCCGAAAACUCCAUCCCUGCAGGAGGACAAGGACGUGCACGUGUUGACACAACCCAUUUUUGCUUAUGCAAUUAGCAGCAUCCUCAGCUGAUGGACCUGCAGAUGAGGUCUCGCUUCCAGAACCAUGAAGCUGUGGAAAUCACUCAGCAACAGGAAUUUCUGUGCUCCUCAGCCCUCUCACCUUCACUUAUAACACCGCAAUGCAAAGAAAUAACCACCAGGCUCUGCUGCCAAGGCUGCUGAACAUCCGUGGGUUGCACCCACACAGUGCACAUGGAGCAGAUCCCUGGGCCAAGCCAUGAAGUUUUCAGCAGCAAAGCACCAGUUGGGCAGAAGAUGGCAGCAUCAGCACGGGGGACAGCAAGUGCUUGCUCGUUAAGGCAAGACUCUUUCAGUUUGGAAUACCAAUAUAUUUUUGCAGAGGAAGGAAGGCGCUUCCACACCGUGAGACUUCAGAAAUGUGCUUUUUUUGCACAUCUUUUUUGCUGCGAGACAGCAGUUCCUGGGCUGGUGGAGCCAAAGGAGCUGUCACAGCCCGAAGGAGCACCACACACACAUUGCCUGUGCGCAGCGCUGCUGGAAGGCGCUGGGGCAGAGAGAUUUUGUGGAGGGAGAGGAGGUGCCUUCAGCCACAUGCGCUUAUGGUGGUUAUUGCAGCUCUGGACAGAAGGACCCAGCCCUGCCCAAAACCACUCUGUGCUUUGGUGUUCAUAGCUUCCAGGCAAACAAUACUUCCUGUUGUUCUCCCCAGACUAGCAAGUUCUCUUUGCAUGCCACCUUCGAAAUGCAAUAUGUUACGUCGGGUAUUAUCAGAGGGUGUUAAAACAUGAUCCUAUGGACCCUAAAAGAUUUGUCAAGUCAGCUGAUGCUUUCUUGGCAGCAGCCUUCUCCUCGCAGGGCUGCUCAUCUCCCUAGGAUGUGCCACUCGAGCACAUUUGGCACUGCCCCCUCUGCACAGCUCGGUCACCUACUCACCAGGGGUGAAGGGAGGAGUGUGUCUGUCCUGGUACAGACCCUGGCAGGCCAAGAUAUCAGCAAAAUUUAACCCGCAGUACUGGACACCCACACGGA
Non-coding RNA from Anas platyrhynchos (mallard), 1366 nucleotides. Lineage: Eukaryota; Metazoa; Chordata; Aves; Anseriformes; Anatidae. The record is from RefSeq and is a predicted model, not a curated record.